GGAAUUUUCUGUAGGAAACAAGAGCGAGAUGGGAAAAUAGAUGAAAUUGAUGAAAUCUUAACAUUAUCUUAAGAUUAUUGUCCUCAGAAAGCAUCUCAUACCAAUAGUCCUAACACAGGAAAUUCAGACAUUCAUGAUUGUCAAUAAGUCCUAGAGCAGUUUUCUACCCUUAUGAUGCACUUUGUUUAUUGUGGAUUGUUGUACAGGUGUGGGGCAGAUUCAAGACAUUCAUCAUUGCCUAGACUAGAAGCCACGUUCUCCCUGCCCUUCUUUCCCUUGAGCCUGCCCCCCCAGGUUUGACUCCUAAGGACUUCCUGGAGGUGAAGCAUUGUAGAACGAGGAGGUCUCUGGAGAACUUCUAACACUCUCAUUUUACCAGUGAGGAAAGUGAGGCUCCUCGAGAUCAGAUUGACUUACUGGAGUUCUCCCAUUGUGUUAGGGUCACUGCCAGGUUACAGAACCAACUCCCCUUUACAGGAUUCUGCUCAGUGCAAAUAAAUACAUGAGCAUUGGACAAGUAGAAUUUGGAAUAUAGGGGCCAGCCCUGUGGUACAGCUGUUUAAUUCCCCUGCCUGCAGGGCUGGCAUCCCAUCUAGGUGCGGCUUGAGUCCCAGCUGCUCCACCUGCAACCCAGCUCUCUGCUGUGGCCUGGGAAAGCAGAACAAGAUGGUCCAAUCCUUGGGCCCUCCUUGUACCCUUGCGGAAGACCUGGAAGAAGCUCCUGAUUCCUGGCUUGGGUCAGCUCAACUCUCGCAUUUGAGGAGCGAACCAGCAGAUGAAAAAUCUCUCUCUCUCUCUCUCUGGUACUCUGCCUUUCAAAUAAAUUAAUUUUUUUUAAAAAAACAGCCCUCUAAAUUAAAUGAAUAUGGAUGAGAUAGUACAUAAUAAAAAGCCCCUGCAUGCACCUGGGAGACCAGGAAGAAGCUCCUGGCUCCUGGCUUCAUAUUGGCGCAGCUCUGGUUUUUGUGGCCAUCUGGGUAGUGACCAGCAAAUGGAAGGCCUCUCUCUCUGCCUCUCCUUCUCUCUGUGUGUAAUUCUGACUUUUAAGUAAACAUACAAAUCUUUAAAUAAAAUAAAAGUGGUUCCUUUGAAAACAAUACAACACUGUCAUCUUUGGUGCAUUGUUUUGUUUGUGCAGGACACCUGCCAUUGCCUAGAGUCUACAUACAACCUAUCCCAGCUGGUGUUCAAGGUCAUUCUCUAUCCUGAUCCUAAAAUGGCAUGGUCUCUUAAGAGUUGUUAUAGUAAUAAUAUUGAUAAUUCAUACAUGAAAUAAUGGUAUUUGUUUUAUGGGAUUUAUGUGGAGAAUGAUACAGUAAGUUAUAGAAAAUAGAAAGAUAAAAAUCCUGAGGGGCCAGUGCUGUGGCACAGUGGGUUAACGCCCUGGCCUGAAGCACCGGCAUCCCAUAUGGGCGUCAGUUCGAGACCCAGCUGCUCCACUUCCUGUCCAGCUCUCUGCUAUGGCCUUGGAAAGCAGUGGAGGAUGGCCCAGGUCCUUGGGCCCCUGCACCCACAUGGGAAAUUUGGAAGAAGCUCCUGGCUCCUGGCUUCGGAUCGGCACAACUCUGGCCAUUGUGGCCAUCUGGGGAGUGAACCAUCGGAUGGAAGACUCAAUCUCUCUCUCUCUCUCUCUGCCUCUCCUCUCUCUCUGUAACUCUGACUUUAAAAUAAGUAAAUCUUUUUUAAAAAUACUGAAAAACAUGUACUGUCACAGAACUCAAAAGCAUAGCAAUGUACUUCAAAAUGUAUAUGGGAAGUGGGAUGAAAAGAUAAGCUUGGUUUGCUGCCAAAUAUUUUGAAAUCCAUGCAUAUGAGUGGUUUUCUAAGUCUCAUGGGAAAUGUACAUUAAGCAUGGAUGUCAAUUUUUUUCUGACUCCAGAAUAAAUGUAUGCUUUCAUUCCAUUUCCACGUACUUAUUGAAGUGCUCUCAUAAAUAGAUCUUAAUGGAAAAAUGGGUAACAAGCAUCAAAGAAUAGUACAUUUACUAUGAAGUUUCUUAUCUCAGCUGCAACAUUAUUUAAGUGAAUACUACCUACUUUAUUAUUAGGAAUACUAUAACCAAAAAAUAUCCCAUAAUGGUGAUUUUUUAAAAGAUUUAUUCAUUUAUUUGAAAGGCAGAGUUAGAGAGAGGCAGAGGAGGAGAGCGAAGUCUUCCAUCUGCUGGUUCACUCCCCAAAUGGCUGCAACAUCCAGAGUUGGGCCAAUCCAAAGCCAGGAGCCAGGAGCUUCCUCUAGAUCUCCCUCAUGGGUGCAGAGGGCCAAGGAGUUGGGCCAUAUUCUACUGAUGCCCCAGGCCAUAGCAGAGAGCUGAAUCAGAAGUGGAACAGCCGGGACUUGAACCCUGGGCCCUAUGGGAUGCCAGAACUGCAGGUUGUGGCUUCAGCUGCUAAGCCACAGCACCGGCCCCUGCAAUGGUGAUUUUUAAAUGACUUUCUUUACUUGUGGGAUAAUCUAUCAAUAGAAAAUGUGUCCAGGCAGCAUGUUGCAGUAGAUGCGGAUGUAAAGGUACCCAUAAUUUAAGUGGACAAUUAUUUCAUCAAAUACUUGUCCAGAGCAUCGAGCAAAAUAGUUAAGUGUAAGUGGAUUUCUUUUUUUAUGCUAAUUCUCAUUCCUCUGAAUAUUCCCCAGUAAGUACCAGCUAUCAUUCCUAAUAGAAACAGGUAUUUCAAUUAAUGCAACCAUUAAAAAACCAGAGAACACUAAAAGAUCAUGAAGGUUUUUAUAUUUAUGCUCAAAACUUAUAUGAUCCUCAUCCAGGAAAAUAUCAUCCCCAAAGCCAAAAAUAAAAAUCACCACCAGAAAAAUUGUUUAAAGUAAAUGUACAAUCAGAGAUGUGGUGCUUGAUCUUUUAUUUUCCUUUCAGGGUAGGUCUUUCUCUUCAUGCUUAGUUCCUAAAAUAGUAAAUGACUCUUAAUAAGUACUCUGUUUUAGGAAGAAAAAAUUAUGAUAGACACCCUUGAGUGAAAUCUACCACACAAGGGAAUUUGUCCACUUGUUGCAGAGUAGGAUAUAUCAUUUUUUUUUUUUUUAAAAAGUACUUUAGUAGUAGAAUAUAGUUUACAAACCAGAAUGAACUAGAACAUUUAAAAUCCCAUUUCCUCCAGCCCCCUAGAUAACUGCUUUAAUGAAGUUCCUUGUUUAGAGGAGGCCUCAUUUCCAUUACAGAUUUCUAACUUUCAUUUUCAAAGCUUUCAUUGUUCAAAGAGGCAACGGGAAAAAGCAAAAACCAAACAACUGACUGUGACUUCUGUAAAGCUACCUUUCCAGUGAUACCCUAUACUGGCCUUCAUUACCUUUCUGGUGCAUUAGUUUAAGGAUUUGUACAGCUCUGAGUAAAUUUCACCCUAUGCCCUUAUUGCUUUAAUUAAAAUCUUACAUCCUCCUCAAUAUUCCAUGCCAGACCACCUCUUCUUUCUUUAUGAAAUACCCUAUGCUGCUUACUCUUUAAUUCUUAUAUUUUUUCCUCCAUCAUUUUUAUUUUUCCUUCCUUUUCUCAAUAUCUGUUGUCCCAAACUUCCUUACCCUAGAAUAUCUGCCUCUGUGCAGCCCAGGAAUCCCCAUCCUCUCUCCCUAUUUUCUGUUUUAAUCUAACCUAAGUAGAAAACUCCAAAAUAUGUGACUAUUACUUUAUGAACAACACUCAGUUUGAAAUACUAAAGAUAAAUAUUAGUGGAGGCAGACUAUACAGUUUCAACAUCUUGGUAUAUAUUGCCAGUUUUCUAUACCAUCUGGAUUUUUUUUCUCUAUUUCUGUUGAAACAAGACUCUCAAGGAGUCACUGAUUUAAUUUUCUGUGUGAAUAAAAUUUUUUAUUUUUAUUUUUUGUGCCGAAACCCAGGAUCGUGAAUACAAUUUAAGAUUCAAUAUUUGAAAAGGAGCAGAGAGAAUAACUGAAGAGCCAAAGUGACUCCAUUUUAAAACAAUAAAAAAAGCAGCCUCCAUUUCCCAUAGCAGACCCGAGUCCUUGUAAAAGCAGGCAUUCAGGCAUUCCAGAGAUAUCAAAGCUUACCAGGGACAGCUAGCUCGGUAGACCAAGGACAGCACAGUAGAGAUUGCUAAGCAAAGUAACUCUAUACCCAAAGCUCCCCUGCUGUAAGCCCCGCUGUAACUCCCUGUACCCAAAGCUCCCCUGCUGUAAGCCCCGCUGUAACUCCCUGUACCCAAAGCUCCUGUGCUGUAAGCCCCCACUGAUGUAACUCUUUUUUCCUGCUGAUGUAGCCUGUUUUCCUUUAAAAACUCUCCCAAACAAAGACGGGGGCCUCACUCCUUCCUCCGCUGCGCCGGUUGGUUGGAUGGGGUCCCUGUCACGGCUUGUACUUUUAAAAUAAACCUUGCUUUUGCAGUUCGGUGUGAUCGGGUCACUGAUAGCUUCUUGGGGAUCUACUUACCUGGGCACAACAUCUGGGGGCUCAUCCUGGGAUCCUCAGAAGCCCCCAGAGGCCUUAUCCCCGAAGGUUUAUACCAGUUGACUGGGAAAUGUUCCACCCCCACGAGAGAAGGCGGUGGGACAACAGGAGGAGCUGCCCCAGGGGCCAGCUCAGUCUGCUCGGAGUCGCGGGGGAGCCACUCCCCAGCCAGAUACCACGGCGGCUCUGCCUCUUAGGCUGGAGCCCCAUGGCACAAGGUAAGGAGAGACUCCGUGUCUGUUGCCAGGCUCUGCUACCGGGUCUCAAAGCGGGGGCACGCAAGAUUGGCGCAAAAUUCGAAUUUGGCCUUAGAGACUGGCACGGACUAGGUAACUCUCCUCCCCCAGCCUUACCUCAAAAGUUGAACUUUAUCUUAGAACCAGGUCUGGUCCAAAGUCUACUCUCCCUAUCUUGUUAAUGAAACAAAUUGGGUAUCUCACCCUUCUGAUGGCUCUUCUGUUUUAUCUCGAGCCAGCCGGAAGAUAUUGCUUUGUAACUUGCUGAACUUAUUUUACAAUUUAUUUUAACAAAUUUCUGGGAGGUCAGUACUCAAUAAAACAGUAAUAGGUAAUUAGUACUUGUUUUAAAUAAAUACAAUUUUAAUUUAAAUAAAUUGAAAUAGAGCUAUAUAAUAUCAGCAUCUUAAGUCAUUUAGGUGUAACUGCUAAUUUAAAUUGGGUAAAGACAAAUGAGAUAAAUGUGUCUAAAUGUAAACUUUGGUACUCUCAACACUUUAUGUUCUAUAGAAAAUCUACUUGAAUUUGCUAACAUGUUUUCAUAGAUUGUCCAUAUAAAAAAUAGUUCAACAUCACUUAAAAGUAAUUAAUGCUGAAAUUUGAUGUGUUACUUUGUUUAGAAAUGUUGUCUUAAUUUGGAGAUUUUUAAUAGGUUAUUUAAAAAUGUAAAGCAAGGAAAUUAACAGAUGACAAACAUCACAAGUAUAAAAAUAUGUACUUAAUAAAAAAGGUUAAAAAAGUUUUUUAAAAUAAAAAAGACAUGGUUUAUAAAAAUUACUUCAUCCUGAUGGCUAGUUUACUCUAAACUAAAAUAAAAGUAAUAAAAUGUUUCAAGUAAGUUAAAAAGGGUGUGAAAAAGCCACAAAAAGUUAUAAAAAAAUUUUGGUUACAAAAGCUAUUACUGAUUCUCUGUUAAAGCAAUGAGUUAAAGUAAUCUAUUAUGUUCUCUUGAUGUCUCUGUUAAAUUCUAAUUGUUUAAAAACAACUGAGUUUUUAUUAAGAGCUAUAGGUUAUUUAAAUAUGUGUUUAUUUUCAAACCUUUAAAUAAUCACCUUGUAACAAUGAUCAAAUUUGGUCUAUAUUAUGUCAUGAUGUUAAAAAAUCUUAUUUCAACUAGAUAUUCUGGAUUUUGAGCCUUCUUGGCAUCCUUGACAGGCAUUCAAAAAAAUCAAAAAUCAAAGUUUCAAAAAAUUUAGACUCUAAAAUUUCCAGUAAAUUUUGAACUUCGGGUUUUCCAGUUUGGUCCCAACUGAAAAAAAUCAAAGAAUAUAUAUAUAUAUCUCAUCUUGUAGAGACACCAACUAAUUAGGCUAUUUGGAAUAUAUUUAAAGUACUGUCAGGAUGUAAAGUGGUGGGGCCGGCGCCGUGGCUCAAUAGGCUAAUCCUCUGCCUUGCGGUGCCGGCACACUGGGUUCUAGUCCCAGUUGGGGCGCCAGAUUCUGUCCCGGUUGCCCCUCUUCCAGGCCAGCUCUCUGCUAUGGCCCAGGAGUGCAGUGGAGGAUGGCCCAACUGCUUGGGCCCUGCACCCCAUGGGAGACCAGGAGAAGUACCUGGCUCCUGCCAUCGGAUCAGCGCGAUGCGCCGGCCGCAGUGGCCAUUGGAGGGUGAACCAAGGGCAAAAGGAAGACCUUUCUCUCUGUCUCUCUCUCUCUCUCACUGUCCACUCUGCCUGUCAAAAUAAAUAAAUAAAUAAAUAAAAAGAUGUAAAGUGGUGCUAAAUUUUAAGUUUCUAUAAUAUAAAAUGGUAUUAAUACAAAUGUCUAAAAAUUAAAAAGUCUAAUGAUCUUGUGUUACUAAACAUAAUGGUCAUCUUGGUAAGGGGGACCCAGAGGCCUAAAAGAGUUAAGUGUGCCUUGUGAAAUCCUGCAGGUGCUUUCAAAAAUGCUAUGUAAAGUAAACAAGUGUCUCUUGUUGCUUGACAAGUUUGUAAUUUUAAAUAUGACAACUUAAGGUCUUUUGUCAUCCACAGUUUUGUAUAUCAGAUUUACUGCUCGUAAAACUAAAGUGUUGUUGGUUCUGUGUUUAACUGUCCUCCUAUAGGUUACAAUGGACUUUUUCCAGAAACAUCUAUUGUAUUCCGUUUUUUGGGAUGACUCUGUAAACUGAUAAAGCCAAUAAUGUAUUACAAGUACCAACUAAAAAAAAAGUAUAGUUAACUAAGGUUACUAAGAUCAAAAAGUAAUUCAAAUCAAUUGGUAAUUUGUAAAAAAAAAAAAAAAAAGAAGGGUUAAAAAUUUUAACAGCUAUUACUGAAACUGCUUUAUUGUUCUGAUAUAUGUGACCCUGUAGUUUGAUGUGAAACUAAAAACAUUUUAUAUACUUGUGCUUAAAUUUGCUGGACAAGCUACACCAUGUUGGAUAUUUAAGAGAUGUUUCCGAGUACAUAUAUUCUUAAAAUUUGUAAAGGACAUUGAACCUUCUGGUAAGUGUUUUCCUAAGUUGUUGUCUAAUGAUUAAAUCUGCUUGCUAAGUUUUCAUUUGAUAUUACUCUUAAAAUGUUUAUGCAUGGAAGAUCUGCCCUGCCUUUUUGACCCUAUUGCCAUAUAUGAUUAUUCCUUGUGAGAUUACUUAAUUACUUAAAUUUAAAACUAGCAUAGGAAAUCAAAGCCACUGCCAGAGUAACAUAUCACAGAGUAACAUAUCUGUUUUGCCUCUGGUGGUGCAAGGUUUUUAAGCAUGGCUGGUAACUGGUAAGAUUUCAUAGUGACAAUCUGGCAGUAUCCUUGCAUAGCUAUUUGGGUAAGGACAUAAGUCAGUUCUGUUAAAGGUCAACCAUGUUCAGAAAUCAGAGUAACUCAGCCCAUCUAAAUAUUCAUCAGAAACAUGCCUAUAACUAUAGACUUCUUGUCUAGGAAACAAAAAUUAGAGGUGGGACUGAGCACUCCCUUGACUUGCAUUCUCUGGUCUGAUUUAACAAGAACCAGGAGAAAAAAGAGAGCUGGACAUCAAAAGCCAUGUAAAGAUGGGUGGCAGGCCUAUUACAGGAAGCUCUGUGCAGUGAUCUGCCCUCAGGAAGACCCAACAGGCCAGUCUACUGCGGUGGCUUCUGAUGAGGUAAACCUGGGCUUCAGCAGAAGUCAGCUUAUAAAGAGCCCUGGCAGCUCUGCCAGCCAAGAGUUGGGUCACUAAAAAUGGACCUGCCCUGGAGUCGAAGGACUUCAGGUCAGAGCCACAGAUCUUAUUGACUCUAAACUGAAAAGCCCUUCACUUAGCCCAGCCUCCAAAGUGACCGCCACUGUUGAGAGAAUGGCCAAGUAGGGUCAGUAACAUUACAGACAGAGCUGUAAAUUUCCUGUUGGAGAUGCCACCUGCCUUUACCUGGCCAGCUCUCCUCCCAGGCCAAGUAAGUAAUAAAAGUCAACAGAGUGCCUUCCCCAAGGAGGUUCACACCUCCCUUAAAAUGUACCCUGUGUAAAAAGAUAGAUAGGUCUAGGCCCCUUAACUUACAAGGCCUAAAGCCCACCAGGUUAUUAUCAAGCCCCUUCUAUCAGGUUCUCUUUGCCUCUCACUCGGAAAACUUAUUUGUAACUUGGACAACACCUUUCUUGACUCCUCUAAUAGCAACUCUGUCCUUUGUUCUGGAUCCUGCAUGGCCCUCUCCUGGGCCUCAUUCCUUUGUAAUUUUGUUGCUUAUUAAAGUCAGUGGUAUACAGACAUUCUGUACAUAUCCUGUGGGGACAGCAGUAGUAUCUCUUAAACAGUAUUACCAUAAGUAGUGUACUUCAAAAUGUAAAUUACAUUGUUUAAAACUGUGACUUUAACAUCUGUGUAAUUAGUGCAUAUGGUAUCUACUCUCCAUUAUCAAGAUAAUUCAUUAUUAGGUAAAUUUGGCUAGUAGGGAGUACAGUUCUGUGAGCAGUGUUUCCUGUUAAAUAUCAACUACUCUCAGUUACACAUAGCAGCAGGAGCUCUGCCUUGUUCGGGAAAAGUAAAUGCACAAAGUUAAAAAGUUAAAGACAUGCUGCAAAUAACUAGUCAUUAUUCUGUGUAUAAAAGCAGAGAAAAAAUUAAACGCUAAGAAUUUCUGUAAAUUCUUUGUUCUCUGUAGUAGAUUGCUGUUUAUACUCCCAGCGUGUGUGUACUGAUAAUCCUCUCCCACACUAAUGAGUGACUUUUCUCCUGGUCUUGGCUGCAAUUUGCUUUAUUCUCACCCUGUCUCUAUACUACAGUGUCUGUUUAAGUGUUUACAGCUGGUGACAGAGCAAACCAAGGCCUUCGGCAACCAGGCGGUCAACCAAAUGCUACUACAGGAAUGUGCUCGGCUCCCCGCCCAGGAGACAGCAGCUUAAGACAUCGCCCCAUGGCAGCGAAGAGUGCCUCGUUGCCCCACAUCAGGAGGGUUGGCUCUGAAGGUGGAUUGUCAUCCCUCUGCCCCUCCUGGACUUUUGAAACUGAUGUGGUGGAAAAGAAUGCUGCUCUUAUGCCGAUCACUCGGGCCUAAUAAAAGAUAACAUGGCUGGCUAAGGUCAGGAAAGUUCUGGAAAAGUGCCAAAGAAACCGGGAGGCCUCCCAGGGAUGGUUCGAGCUUGGUUUAAUUUCUCUCCAUGGCUCACCGCCCUCCUAUCAGAAGUCAUAGGGCCCAUUAUCCUUCUGAUUUUAAUUUUAACCAUUGGCCCUUACAUUAUUAACAAACUUGUACAGUUUAUGAAACAGAGACUGGGCACCAUUCAAUUAAUGGUCCAGCGGUCCCAGUAUAAACCCGUAAAUGUUUGUAAAACCUAUAAACUGUCCGUCCAAAACCCAUGAUUGGGUUUUUCAAACAUGUACAAAAAUAAGGGGGGAAUGAAGAGCCAAAGUGACUCCAUUUUAAAACAAUAAAAAAAGCAGCCUCCAUUUCCCAUAGCAGACCCGAGUCCUUGUAAAAGCAGGCAUUCAGGCAUUCCAGAGAUAUCAAAGCUUACCAGGGACAGCUAGCUCGGUAGACCAAGGACAGCACAGUAGAGAUUGCUAAGCAAAGUAACUCUAUACCCAAAGCUCCCCUGCUGUAAGCCCCGCUGUAACUCCCUGUACCCAAAGCUCCCCUGCUGUAAGCCCCCACUGAUGUAACUCUUUUUUCCUGCUGAUGUAGCCCUUUUUUCCUUUAAAAACUCUCCCAAACAAAGACAGGGGCCUCACUCCUUCCUCCGCUGCGCCGGUUGGUUGGAUGGGGUCCCUGUCGCGGCUUGUACUUUUAAAAUAAACCUUGCUUUUGCAGUUCGGUGUGAUCGGGUCACUGAUAGCUUCUUGGGGGUCUACUUAUCUGGGCACAACAAUAACCAAUCUACUAUCCCAUUGUAGCAAAUGAGGAAAUAGCUUUUCUGUGAGAGUUACGAUUUGUCCAAAGUCAAAUAUCCCAUAGAUGUCAAAGCGAAAUCUGAUAUUAAGUCUCCAGAUUUAUAGUUCAAUACUCCACCCUGCAUUCCAAGUUGUUUUGACUCUACUACUAAAUUUAGGGUGAGAAAACAUGUAAUGAAGAACUUUUAAAGGUUUCUUUCCUUACCUGACAU
This is a non-coding RNA of Oryctolagus cuniculus (rabbit), 10127 nucleotides long. NCBI's taxonomy places the organism in Eukaryota, Metazoa, Chordata, Mammalia, Lagomorpha, Leporidae. The record is from RefSeq and is a predicted model, not a curated record.